Molecule: unclassified non-coding RNA, 148 nt
Organism: Macaca mulatta (Rhesus monkey)
Lineage: Eukaryota; Metazoa; Chordata; Mammalia; Primates; Cercopithecidae
Rfam family: Metazoan signal recognition particle RNA
About the family: The signal recognition particle (SRP) is a universally conserved ribonucleoprotein. It is involved in the co-translational targeting of proteins to membranes. The eukaryotic SRP consists of a 300-nucleotide 7S RNA and six proteins: SRPs 72, 68, 54, 19, 14, and 9.
Source: Ensembl
GCCAGGUGUGGUGGCGCACACCUGUAGUCCCAGCUACUCAGGAGGCUGAGACAGAAGAAUUGCUUGAACCCAGGGGUCAGAGGUUGCAGUGAGCUGAGACCACAUCACCGCACUUCAGCCUGGGCAACACAGUGAGACUCUGUCUCAA